CAGGGAAUAUUGCACAAUGGGCGAAAGCCUGAUGCAGCGACACCGCGUGCGGGAUGACGGCCUUCGGGUUGUAAACCGCUUUCAGGAGAGAAGAAACUGACGGUAUCUCCAGAAGAAGCUCCGGCCAACUACGUGCCAGCAGCCGCGGUAAUACGUAGGGAGCAAACGUUGUCCGGAUUUAUUGGGCGUAAAGGGCUCGUAGGCGGUUCAACAAGUCGGUCGUGAAAGCCCGGGGCUCAACCCCGGGAUGCCGGUCGAAACUGUUGUGACUAGAGUUCGGUAGAGGUGAGUGGAAUUCUCGGUGUAGCGGUGGAAUGCGCAGAUAUCGAGAGGAACACCAUUAGCGAAGGCGGCUCACUGGGCCGAUACUGACGCUGAGGAGCGAAAGCAUGGGGAGCAAACAGGAUUAGAUACCCCUGUAGUCC
RNAcentral lists this ribosomal RNA (425 nucleotides) under uncultured prokaryote. Its description in RNAcentral is "bacterial SSU rRNA". It matches the Rfam family "Bacterial small subunit ribosomal RNA", at positions 355 to 796 of the family's 1533-position model. The record is from RNAcentral.